Triplophysa dalaica is the source of this 1025-nucleotide long non-coding RNA. RefSeq lists it as uncharacterized. Lineage: Eukaryota; Metazoa; Chordata; Actinopteri; Cypriniformes; Nemacheilidae. The record is from RefSeq and is a predicted model, not a curated record. The transcript is spliced from 3 exons.
AAACGCUGGGUUAGCAGUCUGGUCCAAUUGAGUGACAGUUGAGAGAGUAAACCCCUCCCACUCCUCUACGCAUCAGACAAACUUUACCUUCGCGGGCAUUUUGAUCCACUUCAUCUCGGAAAGCUGUUAUUCGGAGAAUAAAAGGUUGCAGAAUAACAGCUAAUAUUAAUGGAUCAUUCUAUUCAAGAGAAUGUCAACUGGAACGUGGAUGUUUUCAUAACAGGCUUAAAGAUGAACAAAUUGAUAAAGAAACCCUCCUGCUGGACAUCCACUUCCAAAAGUGCACACCACACUGUUGUCUACAACUCCUAGGAAAAGAAUCCUCUUAAGUAAGACUGCUCCGUGGAUAUGUCAGGUUAAGCAGUGCUGAAACCGAAAGAACUAACACUAUUUAAAAUGUUUUGUGAGUUUAUAUGAAGAGGAAAGUUACGGUGUCCCUUUUUCACAUCCAUAACGCUUGUUUAUUUCUUUUUUUAUAGAAAACUUGUGCAUAGACUUAUAUUUUAACAUAUAAAUGCGGUUCUAUUAACAAGGGUUUAGUAAAAUACUUUUUAUAGCGUUUUGAAGUGUUAAGUUGUCUAACUAUUUAUAUUUACUUGUGCCACUUUAAUAACCUUGUUAAAUGUUUAUGUUAAAAUCUAAACUAAUGUAAUUUAUUGAAAUUAAUGUUCUUUAAAUAUGUAUAAACAUACAUUUCAUCAAAGUGUUUUAUAUGCCAUUUUAUUGUUCAUUGAGCAUAACAUAUUGCAUGUUUUUAUGAAUUCCUUUUGUCUUGCAUUUUGAUCCUUAAUAAAACUUUUGAUUCUUACUGAUGCCUCGAGUAUUUCUCUGUGAUUUUGUUAUUAUUAUUUUUAAACAUUUCGGGUUUGUUUUAAACCAUCAAUGUAAUUUUUAAGCAAAAGUUGAUUUAAAUAAAACAACCCAGCAUGUUGGGUCAAAGAUUUAACCCAACUGGCUGGGUUAAAAUAACCCAACGCUGGGUUUGUCCAUAUUUGACCCAAUGUUGGGUUACCAAAAUAACCCAA